Molecule: ribosomal RNA, 253 nt
Filed under: uncultured bacterium
Lineage: Bacteria
Description: partial 16S ribosomal RNA
Rfam family: Bacterial small subunit ribosomal RNA
Source: RNAcentral
UACGUAGGUGGCAAGCGUUGUCCGGAUUUACUGGGCGUAGAGAGCGCGCAGGCGGUCGUUCAAGUCGCGUGUGAAAGCCCCCGGCUCAACUGGGGAGGGUCACGCGAUACUGAUCGACUCGAAGGCAGGAGAGGGUAGUGGAAUUCCCGGUGUAGUGGUGAAAUGCGCAGAUAUCAGGAGGAACACCGGUGGCGAAGGCGGGUCUCUGGGCCGAUACUGACGCUGAGGAGCGAAAGCGUGGGGAGCGAACAGG